AACAAAAGUAGGAAUUGUUGUUUUCUAUAAAUGCAACAACAUGAUUUGUGGUAUUUUUUCCUGUUAUUUAAAAUAGAUUUUGACUGUUUUGUGUCAGUCACUUUUUUCAUAUAAAAUGCAUUUAUUAAGCUCUUUGUAACUAUAAGGUUCUAUGUUGAACAUAGAACCUUUUUCAAUUUUUUUUACAAUUUUUUUUCAUAAAAAGGUUUUAGGUAUGUCAUUUUUUAAAAAUGCUCAUAGAAUCCUUUUUUGUGGUGAAAUUAAUGUUUUUUUCAUGGUUUUAUGAUUUUUUUAGGGUCCUUUAUAAGAUUGCAUCAAUACUUCACUGCUAUGUAACUAUUUCAUCCAAAAACCAGCCUUAAAACACUUAGAUCGAUUUUCUCAAAACUAAGGUGAGUUGACAUACAACCCUAUAAUUCUCAGCCAGCGAUAUAUCGAGGGGUGUUCCUGGAGAACAGGAAAAGAUCUGUUUUGUGGGGAUUUACACAUCCACAUCGAUCGGUCCAUCUUGUUAGAUUGUUUAAGGCAUGAUGUAAGAGAUCUUUAAGGUUACUGGGGUGCUUUCCUGAUACGGCAAUAGCAAUAUCAUCCGCAUAUGCAAUCACUCUGUAACUCUCCGCCUCUAAAUGUCUCAACAGCUCAUUUACUACCAAGUUCCAUAAGAGGGGUGAAAGGACACCGCCUUGCGGCGUCCAUCUACUGACAGAUCUUCUUACAGAGGAGUCGCCCAGCUUUGAAUUGAUCAUUCUGCUAGUUAGCAUUUGUUUGAUCAAUUCUCCAAGCGACUCUUCCACCUUAAGAGAUGACAGUUCAGACGCGAUUGCAGAUGUAUUGACAUUGUUAAAAGCACCUUGUAUAUCGAGGAAGGCAACCAUAGUAUAUUCUUUAUGAUGGAGGGAGAAUUCGAUGGUUUUCACCAGUGUAUGAAGAGCUGCUUCCACCGAUUUUCCUUUGCAGUAAGCAUGCUGUGCCAUAUACAGAAGUCUAGUAUCAAUUCUUGUUCUUAAGUGGAUAUCAAUCAUUCGUUCAAAGGUUUUGAGAAGGAAUGAUGAUAGAAUAAUAGGUCUGAGGUCUUUCGGUUCUACAUGGGAAUAUUUUCCUGCUUUGGGUUUAAAUAUAACUCUCACUUCCCUCCAUAGCACAGGUAUAUAAACUAGUUUCAGACAGCUAUUGAAGAUCAUCUCAAGGAUGUGAAAAUAAUGUCACUAGUAUUUUGUAGUUCGGCUGGUACUAUGCCCUUAGGUCCUGCUGAUUUGUAUGGUUUGAAGGUACCGAUUGCCCAGUACAGUUUUUCCCUUGUGAUCAGGCCUUGUGAAUAAGUUACAACGUUUUCAGAUAUACUAUAUGUAACGUUACUAACAGUUUGCGUGCUUCCUGGGAAAUGAGUAUCAAGAAGCAGGUUGAGCGAUUCCAAGAGCCAUCAGCAUUUUUCAAGUAGCUAGGCAUCAUUGGAUUGGUUGAGAGGAUUUUUCUUAAUCUAGAUACUUCGGAGGUUUCUUCUAUAUUGCUACACUAAGAUCUUUUGGAUUUCCUCAAUUCUUUUUUAUAUACUUUUUAUAUAUAUUGAAGCAUUUCUGGUGCAUUUUGCUCGAUUGAAAAGCUUCCUACAGCUUUUCCUAAUUGGUUCGAGCUCUGAGUUCCACCAAUGUGGUUUCUAUUUUCCCCUCACAUAUGUGAGCGGACAACAGAUUGCCAUAGAGUCCCUUCAAGCAAGAAAACGGAGCUCAGCAAAGACACUCCGACCUCAGAACGCGAAAAACGGGGUUUCACUCACACACUUGCAACUUUUUGUGUAUGAACACAAAAGUCGAACGAGAAUCGUGGUGAAAAAGUGCGAAAAGGAAAACACCAUUUGAUAGAGACAAGUGCAACCCCAUUUUGCAAAUUUGUUUAAACGUCAAAAUUAAUAAAACAAUAAAAAAAAAGUAAGUAAGUGAGCGAGUGGAGGAAGCGAAAGGCACAUUCUCAAAAACCACCCGGCCGAGUGCACCACAUGCACACCAAUUUACAUGUGGAAAAAAACCAACCCCUUUACCCGAAGGUACACCAAUGCAUCCGGAUGUGAUGCGAAUGACUGGGAAUCCCCAGCAGAAUAACGAAUCAGCAGGAAGUAUCAACACAGGAAUCCACAUAGUUUCACCAAUAACAGCAGCAACAACAAAUUGAAGGAUUUAUUUUAUUUAAUAUUUAUUUUAGUAUUUAAUAUUGUAUUUUUGUAAUU
Long non-coding RNA from Episyrphus balteatus (marmalade hoverfly), 2221 nucleotides. RefSeq lists it as uncharacterized. The record is from RefSeq and is a predicted model, not a curated record. The transcript is spliced from 3 exons. NCBI's taxonomy places the organism in Eukaryota, Metazoa, Arthropoda, Insecta, Diptera, Syrphidae.